GACGAACGCUGGCGGCGUGCUUAACACAUGCAAGUCGAACGGAAAGGCCCUGCUUUUGUGGGGUGCUCGAGUGGCGAACGGGUGAGUAACACGUGAGUAACCUGCCCUUGACUUUGGGAUAACUUCAGGAAACUGGGGCUAAUACCGGAUAGGAGCUCCUGCUGCAUGGUGGGGGUUGGAAAGUUUCGGCGGUUGGGGAUGGACUCGCGGCUUAUCAGCUUGUUGGUGGGGUAGUGGCUUACCAAGGCUUUGACGGGUAGCCGGCAUGAGAGGGUGAACGGACACAUUGGGACUGAGAUACGGCCCAGACUCGUACGGGAGGCAGCAGUGGGGAAUAUUGCACAAUGGGGGGAAGCCUGAUGAAGAAACGCCGCGUGCGGGAUGACGGCCUUCGGGUUGUAAACCGCUUUCGCCUGUGACGAAGCGUGAGUGACGGUAAUGGGUAAAGAAGCACCGGCUAACUACGUG
Molecule: ribosomal RNA, 468 nt
Filed under: uncultured bacterium
Lineage: Bacteria
Description: partial 16S ribosomal RNA
Rfam family: Bacterial small subunit ribosomal RNA
Source: RNAcentral